GUGGGGAAUAUUGGACAAUGGGCGCAAGCCUGAUCCAGCCAUGCCGCGUGAGUGAUGAAGGUCUUAGGAUUGUAAAAUUCUUUCACCGGGGACGAUAAUGACGGUACCCGGAGAAGAAGCUCCGGCUAACUUCGUGCCAGCAGCCGCGGUAAUACGAAGGGGGCUAGCGUUGCUCGGAAUUACUGGGCGUAAAGGGCGCGUAGGCGGACAGCUUAGUCAGAGGUGAAAUCCCGGGGCUCAACCCCGGAACUGCCUUUGAUACUGGGUGUCUGGAGUAUGGAAGAGGUAAGUGGAAUUCCGAGUGUAGAGGUGAAAUUCGUAGAUAUUCGGAAGAACACCAGUGGCGAAGGCGGCUCACUGGACUGGUAUUGACGCUGAGGUGCGAAAGCGUGGGGAGCAAACAGGAUUAGAUACCCCUGUAGUCC
This 425-nucleotide ribosomal RNA is filed under the name uncultured bacterium. RNAcentral's name for it is "partial 16S ribosomal RNA". It matches the Rfam family "Bacterial small subunit ribosomal RNA", at positions 354 to 796 of the family's 1533-position model. The record is from RNAcentral.